GCCGGGGGGCGCGGCCGGAGCCGCGGGGAGCCGCGGGGGAGAGGAGGGCCGCAGGGAGGGCAGGGCGGCUCUCCGCUGCGAGCCCUGAGGGAGCCGCGCGUCCGGGCGAGGGAGAGCGGAGUUUUCCGACGGACCGGGAGAGCAGGAGAAAGUUGUUAAAAGCACGAACAUCUGCAGAUCAAGGAGACUUUACUCUCUUCCCGGGGCCUCCAGGUGCGGCUUCCAGGUGCAGCCUUCCGAGCAGAGGCACCUCCCCUCAAGGCGGACAGUCUCCACCCACAGCCCUCCAUUAGGUUGGGUGUAGCAUCAGAUAAAGAAGCCGACCCUGUUGCCCUGCCCUCAAGGAGUUAAAGAUUCCAUUGGACUUGGAGAGAUAUGAAAGGAUCACUGAAAAACAAACAUGUGAAGAUAACCACCGCCACAAAUACCAAGGAAAGCUGGCCUGGAUGGCUUGGAAGACAACAAAAAAUGGUAUGAAAGAUAAAAGAGGUUAGAGCUCCGGGGCUGCUCCGUGCAGGGAGGGGCUGCUCCACAGACACAACUCUUCCUUCCUGGUCGCUUUCAUCCCCUAACCUGGAACUGAGGGGUCUGCACAGCUCCACAUGCAAGCAGUGUGGCCACUGGUAGUGGUCUGUGGACCACCAUGGGCAAUGAGGAUUGAGAACACCCAAUCCAGCGGACAUUCAGUAGAGGACAGCCACGUCACCUUCGGCACUGUCACCACCAUUACAACGUUAAUGCGGGGCGUGCAGGAGCAGUCCCAAGGCAAGCAGCGGCCUGUCCAGGUGCUGGCUCUUGUCCUUAUGGCUCAUUUCACCAUCUCCCCUCUUCCUGAUUCCUUCCCUGGGCUGUACUAGCAGCAUCUGGACCUCCUACGUGCACAUGGGAGGGUGCCCGGGCCACAGGCACGCUGCCUUAAAGUCCUGUGUUUUUGCAAUAUAGGAACUAAUGAAAGGGGCUCCAGGAGAGAUGGACAGGCCCCCUGAGAAGAGACCUGGAAUGAGGGGAACUGAAAGGAGACCACGGCCAGCCACAUCCUCCCUGGGGCCUCAGUCUCCUUCCUCAUCUGAACGACCAGCUGAGCCUGGGUUCUCUGUCAGCUGACUGCAGGAGCCUCCACCCCGGAUCAAGCCACUGCCUGCCACACCCUGGCAGAGCCUCCGGUAGGCCACUGCCCACCCCUCUAGGACACACCUCACCAAUCUCAGCAUCCGGGCCA
Microcebus murinus (gray mouse lemur) is the source of this 1219-nucleotide non-coding RNA. NCBI's taxonomy places the organism in Eukaryota, Metazoa, Chordata, Mammalia, Primates, Cheirogaleidae. The record is from RefSeq and is a predicted model, not a curated record.